Molecule: unclassified non-coding RNA, 7345 nt
Organism: Acanthaster planci (crown-of-thorns starfish)
Lineage: Eukaryota; Metazoa; Echinodermata; Asteroidea; Valvatida; Acanthasteridae
Source: RefSeq, a predicted model, not a curated record
UUGUUUCUAUACUUACAAAUUCAACUAAACCCAAUGUUUGAAGAGAACCAGCUUUUUGCACACUAAUAUCCACAGUAAACUACAUGCAUGUUGCCCCUGUAUCUACAGUGAUGUCACUGAUCCAUGCACGACAUGUUGAGUGCUGGGAGCACGUGAGAAACGUGCAAAGCUUCGACAUCCCAACAGGUGUCUGGCAAAAUGCAGAAUAUUACCAUGGCAACUCAAAGCCUUAAGUCACAAUCUACAGGAAGGGACAAUCCUGGGGUUUUCUACAAUAAAUCAAAGUAGCUUAGUCGUGGAGAGCACAGAUCCCCACUAUACAACAAAUUCAACAUCCGGUUUCGAGACAAUUUUUUUCAAAUGAUUAAGAAGUCACCUUUCAUCAGGAUUCACGAAGUCGAGGUAGACUGUAUUGUGCUUUCAUGGUCAGAGGGACAAUUUUUGCUACUGCAGAUAGUAAGAUGUGCAUUUCUCACACUGACUUUGUUGAGUGUAAAUAACAGUGUCCAGGAGAGAUAUCCUUUAACUGUAAUGUGAACCUCAGAAAAUAAUAAUAAAAUGAACAAAGAACCCUCAAACAAGCAUAAAAGCGUCCCAAAACUAAAUAUUAUUAUAAGUAAAUUUUUAAAAUGAAUUAAACAUACAAAGUUUUGUCUUGUGCUUUUGGAGGGGUCUCGUUUUGGGGGUACAGGGGAAUUUAUGCCUUGUUUUCGUUGUUCGUCCACUGCAUGAUUUGUGUGAGAAUUUAGGUGUUCAAAAUCUUGUCAGAUAUAGGAUUUUCAUGAUCACAGCACAGCACAUUUCCAACGUCAAAUUAUCAGUCAUUUCAAGAGAGUUAUUCACUUUACAAUGAAAAGUUUUGUUUCCAUAACUGUGUAUUGUUUAGUACCUUUGCAUAAGAAACAUGACAAAAGUUAAGGAAUAAACACUAACAGUCGUAAAUCAUCCAAUUUUAAUGUGAUUUUCCGUACAUCCUUUGGGUAUAUAGGGUUAUUUGGCUGGCUUUGUCCAUUUCCUGUACUUCAUUUCACUUUUCCUGAACUAGUGUUUUCAGUGUCUAUUACAUACAUCUUAUCCUAAAGAAAAGAAAUAACCAUUUAAACGUGAAGAAAUACAUGGUGGUUAAAACACACACGGAAUUAUAAAAAAUAAACUGUGAAACGGCAAUACCAAAAUACAAUUUUUGUCAUCUUUUUCUUUAUAACCUGAGAUUGUUGGUUUAUUUCGUUGGAUUGUUUUUCCUCCAUGGAGUGGCUUCAGUAUUUUAACUAACUGUGCAUGCAGGAAUAGAGAAUCGAUUACACUGUACUUUAAUAUGGUACUGAUCCAGAUCUUUUUAAACGUUAGAGAUUACAAAGAAUGUUAUGCUGAAACGAAUGCGUUCCGUAAGCUUCAAACAGCUUCCUUAACAUUAAAACCAUGGAAACCAUUUUUCAUGAGUUUCAGUGUCUUAUAUUUUUUUGGUGACUCUAUCAAUUACUGCAGUAAGGACUGCCAGCAUUCGAAGCAUGUAAUGUUUUCAUUUAUUAUUUCCGCAGUCAAGUUAUUUUUCAAAUAAUGACACUUUAAGUAUUGAUCACAAAAACCUUCCCUUAAUUGCCAGUGACUAAGAUUACACCAGGCAUAGCAACACUGGACUUUGCCCUCCAAAACCGAUCAUUUAGAGUCAUGUGUUAACCUAAUUCCACUUGAUAAUGGUACAGAAGCAUACAAAAUUGAACUAACUAGCUUUCACCGGAAACUGCUCAUCUUUACACGUCUCAGUCGUGCGUGGAAUAGAAUUCAAAUUAGAAGUUGGUAUUCUUUUUCGAGAAUUUGAACUAUUUUCAGCAUAGAUUUUCUUUGUUUCGUAUAACGGAUUAAGCACAAAUCACGGCAAUUAAUGCAAACACUACUGAGGUCGAAUUAUCGCCAAGAAAUCACAAAAAUCAAUAUCAUCAUUACGGGUGAUGGUCAUAUCACCAAGGACUUAUAAAUUCAGUUCACACUUGACCGUAAAUUUAGUUAUAUACUUGAGUGUCUGUGUCAUUGCAGAGCAUUGGUCUCAUUGGGACGCGUCGAGUUGCUGUGACUAUAAGAUACGGUCAACUUGCAGGCAAAACGCUUUGUCACAACAGCAAGAAACCGCUUCGAUGUUUUAAGAAUUCCCAGAGGACACUAAGUCAACUUAACUGAAGUCCAUGUUUGACAUAAGAGAGGAGACACGUUUGAUGCGGCAGUUUCAUUUUAAAAGGCUCGAAAUCAUGCAAUGGCUUUGCACUUCUUUGUAUACUAAGAUCUUCAGACAAAGCAAAACGAAAAAAAAACUGUUGGCAACAUUUUCUUAAUUAAAAUCCUUCUUUUCCCAAUCGUUACGAACGCUUGAAUAUUUAACAAAAUCGUGUAAUUUCCCGAACUGUCUCUUUGCAUCAUUAAUUUCCAUCAACUAGCCGCAGGCAUAUACAUGUACAUGUAUAUACUUGCCUGUUCCAAUAAGCCAUCAGGGAAUUACCAGGGAAAUUCAAUAUGACCAGGGAGCGUGGCAGCCAGAGUUGUCAAACUCACCGGCUGUGAAAUGGAGAGCAAACUCAGGGAAAGCCACUUGUCCCAGUGCAAGUGUUCUCAGGACUAGCACUAACUUUAAAAAACAUGUUCCAGAGGAAACACACUGCAUAAAUCAGUACGAAGAGUACGAAGACCUGGAAACCGUCACUUGACAGUACCUAGAAAUGGGUGCGUCAGGUUGUAAUAAGAUGACCAAACUUCUUGAAAUGUACAAAACAAUAUUAAGAAACUGAGAAAUAAUUUGAUUGUCUUUACGAGUGAAGAAAUAAACAAGUGAUUAUUAGAACUGAAUCAAAUAGCGUGGUAGUUGGCUCCAUGUUAUCACAGAGCAAGGCCGGUUCACUGUGUGGGCGUCCAACGAUCUUCGAUUUCUUCACCCCUGGAUCGAGGCCCAGUUUAUGUGGCCGAUCAAGAUGAUCAUGUAGACGACAUCACUGUGACAUCCAUCCUUGAAUUAAAUUUACUUAUUAACAUUUUUGAGGGGGAACACACGAGAAAAUAAAAAAGUUAGAAAUAAAAGAUGGACGCAGUUACCAUAGUAACGGAUAAUGUGAGAAUGCUAGCAACCUUGCAUUAUCUUAUAAACUGAAAAUUCAGGUCGCAGUCAAUACAAGUAUGGACGAUACUGAAAUUAAAUUAAUCUUCCCCAUAAGGCAGUUAAUAAUAUAAACAGUAGUGACAUCUUAUCCUCUCCCUAGAUGAUUACUCCACCCAAAAAAGGGAAUACUUGGUGCCAAGCUUUAUCAUUCAAGGCAUACAUCUAACAGGAAUGACCUUUUCACUCCAUAAACAGGUAAUAAACCCUCUUGUAUUGAGAACGGUAUCAUCAGUUUGUUGACUUCGGUCAGAAUGGGAGCAACGAUCAGCACUCGGCCAAGAAGGGCAAGUAGUGACGUGACAGAGGGUCGACAACGGCCACAGUUACGCUCGGCAUCUGGGACAUUCUUAAAAACAGACAGUCACUUGUUGGCCCCAUGGUAUCCUGCUACACCUGUUACUAGUAAAAACAACUCUCCAAGGUUAACCAGAUCCUCUUUCAAUAAGAUACCUGAGGCUGAUGAAAUUAGCAAAAAUCCUAAUCUAGAGGAGGGCAGGCAACAGAGAGCAAAUAGUCGGUCAUUUCUGGGAAAGCUGAUCCGCCGUAAGAGGACCUCCUCUUUACUUGGCAGUAUAUCAACUGUCGAAGGAGCUGACACGGAAAUAUGUAUAGAAAUUUCCCAAGAUAAAAGUCCCAAAAUACUGCAAAGCAGAGCUGAACCGAACAGCUCCAACAUAAACGUGGAAAGGAAUCUGCAAGAUGAGGCAGAAAUCAGUUACCAGGACAGCAAAGAUGAUGAAGAUGACAGUGUCUUCUUAGAUGUUGAACCGAGACCUAGACUGGCAAGUGCUGAGAGUAGUUGCAGUGAAGGGGAACCAUCUGUCAUUGGGGGCAAUCAAUUACCAAAGAAACAAAGGAGUACAACAUUAGUAUACAGACCACCUGUAGCUGAGAAAGCAGUGCAAACUGAUCAAGUUGAAUACAUGUACACUGACAGUCGCAGUAUGCCAUGUGCCUACUGUAGACACCGUUGUCUCUGCUACAAGAAUGAUCCAUACGAUUCUAAUUCAUCCACCCAAUCACUAAAAUUGAAUUCUGAAGAGACAAAUAAACGCAGACGAAAACGGUGGUCUCCACUGAUAAAAAAGAGACCACUUCUAAUAAAACAAGCAGUUACUACUCAGCCACCAUCAAAAGCAAGGCACUGUGAAUAUGGGUAUCAGCCUACUCCACCAAACCCACAUCCAUCACGAAUGAUGACACAUAUAACCGACUACACACCUCAAUCACAACCAUCCUCACCUAAGGGAUGGCAUAUCCAGUAUCGUCAAAACAGAAGACGGCGACGAACCUUUUCUGAAGAUAGAGUUAAUGAACUGAAUUCUCAUCAGAGUAACAUCAACAGUAGUUAUCCUAGUCUGUGCUCACAAAAAUGUAUAUCUACACCAACUGACGAACAAAGACCCUCUGAUCAUAUCAGACGUGCAAGACUCUACACUUUAUGUCUCCAAAAAGCCAAGACACCCCUUGUGAAAAGUUCAUCUUACAGCCCAACAGUUCCGCUUAGACGACAAACAUGGUCAGAGAAAAGUCGUCCCACUGGUCCUCAAUGUUAAGGGUCAAAGAAGACUAAAGGUUUCCUGGGCAUGUUACGUCACUUGCGAAGCUCAUGCAGUGAAACCGAUAUAUCCAUGGAGCAUAGGCCAUCAGUGGACAGUAAUGGGUAUGUCGAUCCAUUCUAUAUCACCAGACAUUUCAACCGUCUCAACUUGAAAAGACUGUCCUUAUCGCAUCCUAACCUCAACAUUGGUUUGAAAGGAAGCAUAACUCCCCCUAGUGGUUUGAAAGGGAAAGUUUCAGCUGCUGUUGAGAGACUAGAAAGGGUGUUGACAGGGAGAACAUCAUUUGGGCGAACUUUCUCACAAGAAUCACAGCAAUCAACAAGUAACGGUUGGAACAGUGACUUACCAGGCAGUCCAUCCGACUCAGAUGCUGCUGUCUAUACGUACAAAAAACAACAGCGAUGUGAUUUAAAUCGUGAGAAUGGUUACAUGACAUUUGAUCCAGAACUGAAUCCUCCCUUGCCAAGACCUCGUCGAGUUUUAUCUAGUUCUUGCUCCUCAGCUCCAUCAAGUCCAGGUUUUCAGGAAAGAUGCAACACCGGUUUCGAGGAUGUCACAUGUAAUACUGGGUGCGAAGAAGAGAGCAUCUAUGAAAGUCUUGACAAUUAUUCCCCAAGGCACCGAGCAAGCACCUUGAAGAGUUUACCAUCUUCAGAAGGAGAAACCCCUCCUGAGGUGCCUCCAAGACCACCAUCUCAUCGACUGAGACAAAGACAACGUGUCCUUAGAAGACAGAUGCCCUUACCACCAAUCCCAACAGCUCACAGCACAAGCAUCUUGAAAGAUAGGUCACCAGUGCCAAUUAUGACUACUAGUUCAGCUGGUAACAUCAACACUGUCCAACACUCACUCAACAAAACAUCAGGUUGUAGAAAUAACUUUGUCACUGGACAAAGCUCGUCUUGUAGCACACUCCCCUUCCUUCGUAUGGAUUCAUCUGAAGAAGACUCCGUAUUUGAGGUACAUAUGGAGAACACAGCUGGUAGCAAAAUAAGGAAGGGAAAAACUACUGAAGACACACAAGUCUGUGUCGGUGUCAAAGAUGAGAAAAAUAUUAAUGAAAAGUGUCAAAAAGGUAGUGUUACAAAUACAAAUAAAUCUGAGAAACAAGUAGAAGGGCAUGCUGCUAUUGUUUAUGAAAACGAAGCUACAGUCAAUGGUAAUUAGACACAAGAAAGUGAUGGUCAUCAACAUUAACGUGAAUGAUACCUUUGUUCAUAAACUGCAUCACUUCUCUUCUCUCUCUUUAUGAAUUCUGCACGUAUAUAUUUACAUGUAGGCUUAUUGUGUGAUUUUAGUUAGGGUAAAAACGUGACCGGUUCUCUGGGAAAUUUCAUUCGUUGAGAAUUUAAUCUACAGUGUACUUAUAGUUAUUUAUGCCAUCCAAUAUUUCAACUUAAAGUGGAUAUUAAGGAUUUGAUUCAAAAUGAAGUGAACAAUGGAAAGACUUUCUGUGAACACAAGUCACACUUACAUUCGUAUACACUUAUACUUUUGAAACACGAUGAAUAAAUAUGCACACCUUCAUGAGAAAAUGACAGAAAAAAUACUCCCAAUGAUGUUCACCUUAAACGUAGGGUUUCUGAAGUGGCACACAUAUUGUGAAAAGGUCAAGUGAUGACUGAAAACCUAUCAAUAUUUCAUAGGUAUUUGAUUAAGAGUUUUACUUGGCAAUGCUACAUAUACAGUGUGUUGAUGAGGCAUGCAUGCAAAAUGGUGUAUAAAAUACACAUUUUCAAUGUCUUUCUUAAAAAUGGCCAUUGGCUAAUUUGCUUGUACAUGUCAAAGCAAAAUCAUAUCUAUAUUCAUUCUGUUCAAGUCUAUGCUGGCUCUAAUGUUAGAAUUACUGAACGUCAUGUCAGUGCACUCUAUUCUGAUAGGUCAAACGAGACUAUGCUGUGAAUUUCUACUGCCAACUCUAUAGCUGUUUUACCAUCAGUGAGAUACUCUAUAUGUACGUAUGCUUUACUUCAUUCCUACUGGAGUUGUAUAUUCAGUGAAUAUAUUGGCACAUGUAUCAUCCUUUUUCUUGUUUAUUUGUGGAGUUUUAAAAUCACAUCUGUUGAGAAGAUUCCUUCAUCAAUAGGUAAAACAAACUCAGUUUUCGAAAGCAGAUCUAAAUGAGGCAGUAGUUAAGCUAUUUAAUGGGUUGUAAUGGUAUGUAAUGUGAACAGAUAAUUAACACAUUGAAUAUUCAGCAGUGUUCAUAUAGUAGCAACGCUGACUUAUGUGACAAUGCAUAUUUUUAAUGGAAUCUUACAGGGUAUUCAAAGUAAUCAACUAAAAUUUAAACUAAGUGUAAGAUGAUGCCUUGAUGUGGGACUUGAUUACAAGAUAGAAGGGAUCACUAGAGGCAUAGCAGUGAGCAAUGAUAAGACAAGUUCAUUGUAUGAUCGUUGCAAAGUUUUAAACUCCAUUUAUAUCAUACAAUUUAUCAGCUGAAAAUAAUAGAUCCACUGAAAUUCAAAGUAGGAGAUUAAAACUAGGCCAGAGAGAAAAAUUUGCUGUUUGGAUAAUGAAUACUAUUUUCUCAUUAACCAAAAUUUGAAAUUGCCACGUAGGCUCAUUAUUUUUAACUUCCAACAAGCCCUUGUCAGACCUAAUGAAAGAAACAUCUCAACAACUGGAUGGCAGAUUUACU